Molecule: transfer RNA, 138 nt
Filed under: Agathobaculum hominis
Lineage: Bacteria; Bacillati; Bacillota; Clostridia; Eubacteriales; Butyricicoccaceae
Description: tRNA-OTHER
Rfam family: tRNA
About the family: Transfer RNA (tRNA) molecules are approximately 80 nucleotides in length. Their secondary structure includes four short double-helical elements and three loops (D, anti-codon, and T loops).
Source: RNAcentral
CGUGGUGUAGCUCAAGGGGUAGAGCGGCGGCCCGAUGUGGGAGUGUCACAUUGACGAUAACGCCUGCGGAGAAGUGGCGACCAGUCACCAAAGCGGACGCGCAGACGGGUGCAGGUUCAAAUCCUGCCGCCACGCCCA